CAUUUUUCUUCAAUUUGUCCUGUCCUUGCAAUUUAUAUGUGUUUCCUUUCUUCCAGGAGAUUAUUAGCAGAAAUUUAUCUGUAGGUUUUUGUAAUUUAAAAUGUUUUGAUAUGCAAUGUUUCUCCAAGAUAGCUUCAGUUUAUUUCAUUUACAACCCUCUUUUCUGCUAUUUACUAUCUCAUUUCCCUUCCUUUCUGACUCUGUUAAAGUAAGCUUUAUUAAGGCAUGAGUUAAAACUCAUACAAAUAUGGUUAUGUAUGAAUCAAUUGAGAAAAGGUGGUUAAUGGAGAUGCCCAGGAUCCUAAUUCCAUGGUUCCUAUAGGUAAUUUGAAUUUUCUUCUUGUCUUUCCCAUAAAAUUUACACUGUUUAUCCAUUUUAUUUUUCAGAAGAACGUCAGCGCAAAUUUGGUACUGUAUCUUAGAUAUCCUUUUAUUCACCAACAGUUUAAAAUGACUGAAUUUCUGAUUUUUUUUAACAUUUCUCAACAUUUUAUCUAUAUCCUCUUUAUUGGCUCACACAUUUCCUGCAUGUGUGCACUUCUAACCUGAAUUUUUAGUUAUGGACUUCCACCAUAGUUUUCUCUCUUCUUUGUCCUCAAAAAAAAUGUAAAUGUUGAUAUCUAUCAAUGUCAAUGGUAAGUUGAAGUUUAUUUUUUCACUGACCUUGAAUUUAUUACCCAGGUUUUCCAGGGUAUAAAAAUGUCUAAUAUAUUUUAAAUAAUUUUUAAAAUUGUCAACAAUAGUAAUUUUACUUUUCAUUUUUAUAUUUAUUGACACAAUUGUCAGUCUGAGAGAUUAUAAUUCCUUUUAAUGAUGUUUUGAAGGGUUCUGUAUCAUAAAGAAUGUUUAGUAACAGUGUGCCUGUCUCUCAAAUUUGAUUUUUUUAAGCAAAUGAUACCAAAACCUAUUGCCUGCAAUGUUUCCUAAAGAUUUUUUCAUAAAACAUGAUAUAUGCAGUAAAAUGUUAUUUUAUUUAUUUUUUUAAUUUUUAUUUGAGUAUGGUUGAUAUUACAGUGUUGUAAAAGUUUCAGGUAUACAGCAAAGUGAAUCAGUUAUGCUUAGGCAGGAAAUUAUUCAGGAAAUAUAUUCAGGAAAUAUAUUCCUGAAUUCUAUUUCAUUUGAAAACAAAAAUAUGACUCAAAAGUUUAUUUUAAAAGAGUAUUAAAAUUUUAAUGAAAUCAAUGAUUUCAUAUAUAACAGCAAUGGCAAAAAUGAGAAUUGGCAAUACAUCUUUAAUAGCAGCCAAUAAACUGAUAAGAGCAACCAUAUUGAAUAAUAAAAGAAAGUAUAAUGUCAAAUGAGGUUAUGAAUAUAUGGAAAAGUGAACCUUCAGAAAUACUGCUCCUAAAAUUUUUUGUCUCUAUUCAGAAAAUACAAUUUUUUUCUGCUUUUUCUUUAUUUUUGUUACUCUUUUCUAUUUUCUUUAUAGAAUACUCUCUGAGUAAGAAGGAGCAGUCCUCAUCUAUUCUUGAAAAACUUCAACACCAAUUUGAAGAACUUCAACACCAAUUUGAUGAUAAUAUGA
This is a long non-coding RNA of Bubalus bubalis (water buffalo), 1525 nucleotides long. RefSeq lists it as uncharacterized. The transcript is spliced from 4 exons. The record is from RefSeq and is a predicted model, not a curated record. NCBI's taxonomy places the organism in Eukaryota, Metazoa, Chordata, Mammalia, Artiodactyla, Bovidae.